AUUGAACGCUGGCGGCAUGCCUUACACAUGCAAGUCGAACGGCAGCACGGGUGCUUGCUGCUGGUGGCGAGUGGCGAACGGGUGAGUAAUACGUCGGUACCUGUCCUGUCGUGGGGGAUUGCCUGGCGGAAGCCGGAUUUAUACCGCGUACGAUCUACGGGUGACAUGGGGGGAGUUUGAGACUUGGCGCUGUAGGGUUUGCAGAUGGCGGUUUAGAUCUUUGGUGGGGUAAAGUCCUAUCAAGGCGACGAUCAGUAGCUGAUCUGAGAGAAGGACCAGCCACACUGGAAGUGAGACACGGCCAAUACUCCUACGGGAGGCAGCAGUGGGGAAUGUUAGACAAUGGGCGAAAGCCUGAUCCAGCAAUGCCGCGUGUGUGAAGAAGGCCUUCGGGUUGUAAAGCACUUUUGUCCGGAAAGAAAUGCUUGGCCCUAAUACGGACGGGGAAUGACGGUACCGGAAGAAUAAGCACCGGCUAACUACGUG
Molecule: ribosomal RNA, 486 nt
Filed under: uncultured bacterium
Lineage: Bacteria
Description: partial 16S ribosomal RNA
Rfam family: Bacterial small subunit ribosomal RNA
Source: RNAcentral